UGACUAAUGAGGAUCAGGUGUUGUUGUUGAUCAGAUUUUUGCUCACCGACAUCAAGAAGUAGUCUGAGAUGCACCCAUGAUAGCUGAAUUAAGACGAGGUGGCCAGCAUUUUCAAUGUGCGUGAGCUGUGUGCGGAAUUCAAGGGAUCACUGGAUGGAUGCUCCAUCUGCAAACCUGAUGAAGGCAUUUAGUACCUAUGACUGAGGAUUCUGGCAUUGAUGUCUGCCACGAAUGUGCUCUCCUCUCAAGGGACUGUGCCUAUACGAAUGAAGACCCUUAGAGCGUCGUGAAGGAAUACAUGCCAGGUGUUCGUAGUCACACGGCCACAGCAGAGACCAUAUAUGGCAUCAGAUGGUCGUUGUCGCCCCCCCCCAGAGGACAUUUGGAUCGUU
Sardina pilchardus (European sardine) is the source of this 392-nucleotide long non-coding RNA. RefSeq lists it as uncharacterized. Lineage: Eukaryota; Metazoa; Chordata; Actinopteri; Clupeiformes; Clupeidae. The transcript has 4 exons. The record is from RefSeq and is a predicted model, not a curated record.